ACUGAGGCAAGUGCCCUUGAUGAUACCAAAAUUUGAAGAAAUGAGUAAUAAACUUGGAAUAACCACCCAGACGAGCAGGCGCAAUAAAGAGGCAUUUUGCGUAAAACACAAGAAAUGUUUUUUAGGUGGAUUAAGAGGUGUAGUUCCAGUAAGUGUGUACUCAAAGAUCAAGGUUGGUAUCAUCAAGGGCACUUGCCUCAGU
RNAcentral lists this unclassified non-coding RNA (202 nucleotides) under Hevea brasiliensis (rubber tree). Lineage: Eukaryota; Viridiplantae; Streptophyta; Magnoliopsida; Malpighiales; Euphorbiaceae. The record is from RNAcentral.